Molecule: ribosomal RNA, 1502 nt
Filed under: Salinivibrio costicola subsp. yaniae
Lineage: Bacteria; Pseudomonadati; Pseudomonadota; Gammaproteobacteria; Vibrionales; Vibrionaceae
Description: 16S ribosomal RNA
Rfam family: Bacterial small subunit ribosomal RNA
Source: RNAcentral
UGAACGCUGGCGGCAGGCCUACACAUGCAAGCUUGAGCGGAAACGGCAGUAUUGAAGCUUCUCGUGGAUUUACUGGACGUCGAGCGGCGGACGGGUGAGUAACGGCUGGGAACCUGCCCUGACGAGGGGGAUAACCGUUGGAAACGACGGCUAAUACCGCAUAAUGUCUUGAUUCGUUAGAGUCAGGACCAAAGGUGGCCUCUACAUGUAAGCUAUCGCGUUGGGAUGGGCCCAGUUAGGAUUAGCUAGUUGGUAAGGUAAUGGCUUACCAAGGCAACGAUCCUUAGCUGGUUUGAGAGGAUGAUCAGCCACACUGGGACUGAGACACGGCCCAGACUCCUACGGGAGGCAGCAGUGGGGAAUAUUGCACAAUGGGGGAGACCCUGAUGCAGCCAUGCCGCGUGUGUGAAGAAGGCCUUCGGGUUGUAAAGCACUUUCAGCAGUGAGUAAGUUCGUGUACUUAAUACGUGCACUGCUUGACAUUAGCUGCAUAAGAACCACCGGCUAACUCCGUGCCAGCAGCCGCGGUAAUACUGAGGGUGCGAGCGUUAAUCGGAAUUACUGGGCGUAAAGCGCAUGCAUGCGAUUUGUUAAGUCAGAUGUGAAAGCCCGGGGCUCAACCUCGGAACCGCAUUUGAAACUGGCAGGCUAGAGUCUUGUAGAGGGGGGUAGAAUUUCAGGUGUAGCGGUGAAAUGCGUAGAGAUCUGAAGGAAUACCAGUGGCGAAGGCGGCCCCCUGGACAAAGACUGACGCUCAGAUGCGAAAGCGUGGGUAGCAAACAGGAUUAGAUACCCUGGUAGUCCACGCCGUAAACGCUGUCUACUUGGAGGUUGAGGUUUUAGACUUUGGCUUUCGGCGCUAACGCAUUAAGUAGACCGCCUGGGGAGUACGGCCGCAAGGUUAAAACUCAAAUGAAUUGACGGGGGCCCGCACAAGCGGUGGAGCAUGUGGUUUAAUUCGAUGCAACGCGAAGAACCUUACCUACUCUUGACAUCCAGCGAAGCCUUUAGAGAUAGAGGCGUGCCUUCGGGAGCGCUGAGACAGGUGCUGCAUGGCUGUCGUCAGCUCGUGUUGUGAAAUGUUGGGUUAAGUCCCGCAACGAGCGCAACCCUUAUCCUUGUUUGCCAGCACGUAAUGGUGGGAACUCCAGGGAGACUGCCGGUGAUAAACCGGAGGAAGGUGGGGACGACGUCAAGUCAUCAUGGCCCUUACGAGUAGGGCUACACACGUGCUACAAUGGCAGAUACAGAGGGCAGCGAGACAGCGAUGUUUAGCGAAUCCCUUAAAGUUUGUCGUAGUCCGGAUUGGAGUCUGCAACUCGACUCCAUGAAGUCGGAAUCGCUAGUAAUCGUGGAUCAGAAUGCCACGGUGAAUACGUUCCCGGGCCUUGUACACACCGCCCGUCACACCAUGGGAGUGGGCUGCACCAGAAGUAGAUAGCUUAACCUUCGGGAGGGCGUUACCACGGUGUGGUUCAUGACUGGGGUGAAGUCGUAACAAG